GUCUACAGCCAUACCACCCUGAACGUGCCUCAUCUCAGAAGCUAAGCAGGGUCAGGUCUGGUUAGUACUUGGAUGGGAGGCAGAAAACUGAGAGAACAGUGCUAGAGAAGCCAGUGCAGGAGAGC
RNAcentral lists this ribosomal RNA (125 nucleotides) under Propithecus coquereli (Coquerel's sifaka). Lineage: Eukaryota; Metazoa; Chordata; Mammalia; Primates; Indriidae. The record is from RNAcentral.